UACGGAGGGUGCGAGCGUUAAUCGGAAUUACUGGGCGUAAAGCGCACGUAGUCGGCUUUGCAAGUCGGGUGUGAAAUCCCCGGGCUCAACCUGGGAACUGCAUCCGAGACUGCAUUGCUAGAGUAUGGGAGAGGGAAGCGGAAUUUCUGGUGUAGCAGUGAAAUGCGUAGAUAUCAGAAGGAACAUCAGUGGCGAAGGCGGCUUCCUGGACCAAUACUGACGAUCAGGUGCGAAAGCGUGGGGAGCAAACAGG
This 253-nucleotide ribosomal RNA is filed under the name uncultured bacterium. RNAcentral's name for it is "partial 16S ribosomal RNA". It matches the Rfam family "Bacterial small subunit ribosomal RNA", at positions 524 to 776 of the family's 1533-position model. The record is from RNAcentral.